RNAcentral lists this transfer RNA (73 nucleotides) under Felis catus (domestic cat). It matches the Rfam family "tRNA". From Rfam's summary of the family: Transfer RNA (tRNA) molecules are approximately 80 nucleotides in length. Their secondary structure includes four short double-helical elements and three loops (D, anti-codon, and T loops). Further hydrogen bonds mediate the characteristic L-shaped molecular structure. tRNAs have two regions of fundamental functional importance: the anti-codon, which is responsible for specific mRNA codon recognition, and the 3' end, to which the tRNAs corresponding amino acid is attached (by aminoacyl-tRNA synthetases). tRNAs cope with the degeneracy of the genetic code in two manners: having more than one tRNA (with a specific anti-codon) for a particular amino acid; and 'wobble' base-pairing, i.e. permitting non-standard base-pairing at the 3rd anti-codon position. Lineage: Eukaryota; Metazoa; Chordata; Mammalia; Carnivora; Felidae. The record is from Rfam by way of RNAcentral.
GCCUGGCUGGCUCAGUCAGUAGAGCAUGUGACUCUAGAUCUCAGGGUCAUGAGUUCAAACCCCAUGUUGGGCA